This 371-nucleotide long non-coding RNA is filed under the name Salvia miltiorrhiza (redroot sage). RNAcentral describes it as "long non-coding RNA (SMIL_LNC003428)". The record is from RNAcentral. Lineage: Eukaryota; Viridiplantae; Streptophyta; Magnoliopsida; Lamiales; Lamiaceae.
UGAACUCAAGAAGAAAAUGGAGAAGUUUAAGUUGAGCUUACCUCUUGGGGUCCAGAUUGCAGCUGAAAUAAACUCUCUAUGAUUUUUGGUGCAUAAAGGAAGGAGGGGGAAUCGUAGUUGGUGAUUUUCAGGCUACUAUGAAGCCCUCAAUUUAUAGGCAGAUUAGGCCGCAAAACUUGAAAACUAUUUACAGCAAAUGUGGAAAUUUUGCUGCAACUUUUGACAAAAAUGAAAUUGGUUGGUGGCUGCCAUAAUUUUUUUUGACUAAUAGUGGAAUUUCAUGUGAGACUUUGAAAAGUGGAGUACUCAUAGGGUGCGUCUGAUCCUAGUUGUAUCUUAGCAUGCUUCAAAUAUUAAAUUGUGACUUUUGC